UCUCCAUUUCACACCUUCCUUUCCUGCCUCCUGUCCAGCUAGUCAACCUCCUCCUGGUUCCUGGCAGCUCACCGUCCCUGGCUCCCGCUUUCUGACUGCCUUUGGCUCUUGCUCAGCAUACGUGGGCCUGUGUUACCGGGCACAUUUCCACCUAGACAGAGGUACUUACUUCAGGAGAAAUCAGUACAUACUGAGCCUGAAAGGAAGGGGAGAGAAGGGAGACUUGUGUUACUGUCGAUGCAGGUUUUAACCACUCAUCCUGAAGCCCCACAUUCACAUCUACAUUCUGGAGAAGUCCUCAACUCAUGCAUGCCCUUUGACACCAGAAAUUCCACUCACAGGAGUGUAGCUCAAGAAGACAGAUAGACAGAAAUGUUCAUAUAUGGAUAUUUAUAUCCUUAUUUAUAACCGUGAAAUGAAAUGGACUGAGGGACUAAUAGCCCCUCAAAUAACGUCUACGUAAAUUAUGGCGUGUCCACAGAUAAAACAGGCAGCCAGGAAGUCCACUGUAUGAGAAUAGAAGGCAUGGAGAAAUGUCAACUACGUUGGCAGGGAAGACCAGGUCAAGUUACAAAAUUGUGUACAAGAUGAUCACGGCUGUUAAUAAGCCCUAUCCACACCCACCCUGUAAUGGUGAAGAGUGUCCUAAAGAAUCAGCUCCUGGUGCAGGGCCCUGGCCUGCCCUCUCCCAGCACCGUGACCUGGUGCACCUUCCUCACGGACAUUCAAUGUCUUCAUCUGGCACAGUACCCACAUAGUAGCUUGGAGGUGGCUUGAAGAAGUAGUGGUGAGGGAGACAGGUCUAUCAAGUGUUAACGCAGUGCCAAGUACGGAGUAGGUGCACAAUAAAUGGGAACCAUUAAGCCGACAGAAAAGCAUACCAGAAGGAUACACCUCAGAAGGUUAACAGAAGGCAUCGCCUCUGCAGAGUGCAAAUCUAGGUAGAGGAUUCGUACCACUUGUAUUUUCUAAAAUUUUUACAAUGAACUGUACUUUUGCAAUUAAGUAAGGUUGUUUAAAUUUAAAAAUGGUGUUUUAGGCACAGGCAACUUAAAAAAAACCCACCUGAGAAAAGGGAUGAACAGGAAGCAGUGAACAGGAAACAAAA
This is a long non-coding RNA of Neofelis nebulosa (Clouded leopard), 1108 nucleotides long. RefSeq lists it as uncharacterized. The record is from RefSeq and is a predicted model, not a curated record. NCBI's taxonomy places the organism in Eukaryota, Metazoa, Chordata, Mammalia, Carnivora, Felidae. The transcript has 2 exons.